CGUGUAGGCGGCCAACCAAGUCGGGUGUGAAAGCCCUCGGCUCAACCGAGGAAGUGCGCCCGAAACUAGCUGGCUUGAGUACCAGAGAGGGUGGCGGAAUUCCCGGUGUAGAGGUGAAAUUCGUAGAUAUCGGGAGGAACACCAGCGGCGAAGGCGGCCACCUGGAUGGAUACUGACGCUGAGACGCGAAAGCGUGGGGAGCAAACA
This 207-nucleotide ribosomal RNA is filed under the name uncultured delta proteobacterium. RNAcentral's name for it is "partial 16S ribosomal RNA". It matches the Rfam family "Bacterial small subunit ribosomal RNA", at positions 568 to 774 of the family's 1533-position model. Lineage: Bacteria; Deltaproteobacteria. The record is from RNAcentral.